Molecule: long non-coding RNA, 714 nt
Filed under: Cricetulus griseus (Chinese hamster)
Lineage: Eukaryota; Metazoa; Chordata; Mammalia; Rodentia; Cricetidae
Description: lncRNA (ENSCGRG00015037953.1)
Source: RNAcentral
GACCUGGCGACCUGACCUCCUCUGGGCGCCACGACCCUGUGGGACUUGCUCAGGCACUAGGCGACCAGCUCGGCCACAGUGGCCCACCUUUUUGGGGGACCCCCCUAGGUGCCAGGGGCGGAAAUAAAGUGGACUGGAAGGGCCACUCGAUUGGACGACUCUAGUAAAACAUUGACUUUUUGCUUAUCCCAGGAAGCCACGCCAGCUUCUAUUUAAAUUACUCCAGGAGUUCGAUCUCUGUUGUGUCAAAACUAUUUUUACAGAGAACCCCGAAAGGGGCUUCUCCAGAAAUAAUUUGUCACGAGGAUAAAGACAUUUCUUCCGUUCUUUUCCAUCAGAUGACAGAACAAUGUCCUUCCAAGAAUAUUGGUGGCUCUAAAACUGACCAAGCAUGCCUACCUGCGAAGACAGUGAUUUCAUUUAUCUUUCUCUAAGGCGGGUCAGGAAGAUAAAAGAGUGAAAUGAGCAGGUUGGCAAACCAGGAAGAUGGACUCCAGACAUACACACAACAUUAAUUGUCUAGGCUGGCUCAUGUCAUGAUAAAAGACGUUGAACAUCAGAAGGCCAUCGUUCUGAUCUCUGCGCUAUAAUUUACUCAGGCAAGAACGCAGCUCAGAAAAUGGAAAUCGAGGGCCAUCUUCCUUACCAACCUUCCCUGGAAACAGCGGAUGUCUGGUGGAACUCAGCCAACAGUUUGAAGAAAACACAGUGACG